CAAUAGCGUAUAUUAACGUUGUUGCAGUUAAAAAGCUCGUGGUUGGAUUUCUGGAGGGAGCGUCGGCCCGUAUUUACGAGUGCGUGACGUCUCUGUCCAUCCUUGCGGGAAGGCACGGCAUUGAUUUGUUGUGUCGGAUCGCAUCAUUUACUGUGAAAAAAUUAGAGUGUUCAAAGCAGGCUUUCGCUUGAAUACAUUAGCAUGGAAUAAUAAGAUAGGACUUUGGUGCUAUUUUGUUGGUUGAGCCUAAAGUAAUGAUUAAUAGGGAUAGUUGGGGGCACCUGUAUUGCGUUGUCAGAGGUGAAAUUCUUGGAUUUACGCAAGACAAACAGCUGCGAANGNGUCUGGNAAGGAUGUUUNCAUUA
This 365-nucleotide ribosomal RNA is filed under the name uncultured eukaryote. RNAcentral describes it as "partial 18S ribosomal RNA". It matches the Rfam family "Eukaryotic small subunit ribosomal RNA", at positions 592 to 975 of the family's 1831-position model. The record is from RNAcentral.